RNAcentral lists this ribosomal RNA (1029 nucleotides) under uncultured Tulasnellaceae. RNAcentral's name for it is "eukaryotic LSU rRNA". The stretch from base 478 to 1029 matches the Rfam family "Eukaryotic large subunit ribosomal RNA", at positions 1 to 533 of the family's 3401-position model. Lineage: Eukaryota; Fungi; Basidiomycota; Agaricomycetes; Cantharellales; Tulasnellaceae. The record is from RNAcentral.
GCACGUUAAACGGAUCGAGAGCCACGCUCCGACCGCGCCCCCCUCGUGGAGGCGUAUUCAAAACCUUGACACAACUACCGUCCUUUGAAACGUUUACAACCAGUAGCACUGGAUCCCUUGGCACGUCAUUCGAUGAAGAACGUAGCAAUCUGCGAUAAGUGGUGUGAUAUGCAAGUCCACAGCUUAUACGUGAACCAUCGAAUCUUUGAACGCACUGCACUAUCCGGACGACACCCCCGUGAUAGUAUGCCCCGUUGAGUGUCAUUUAUCCGUUCAGACGCAUGCGCGUUCGUCUCGCGCUUGCGGAUGAGUUCGAGGUUCACGUCCGCUUUGGACGCGUCCCUUGAGAUCGAUGAGCACGCUUGGUCCGCCCCGCGCCCGUCUUGUGAUGAUUUUGCAAGCCAAGGCCGGAGCAUCUGACCCGUGCCGACCGCCGCCUCCAGGCAAACCCGGGCCUCACGGUCCAACUCUCGUAUAUGACCUCAGUGGGGUAGGACAACCCGCUAGACUUAAGCAUAUUAAUCAGCGGAGGAAAAGAAACUAACAAGGAUUCCCCCAGUAACUGCGAGUGAAGAGGGAACAGCUCAACGUGUGAAUCUGGCUGGGAGUAACCCCCGGUCCAGAGUUGUGCACUGUAGACGUCGGUUUCUGCGCUUGAAUUCCAGUUGUCAGUCCCAAGUCGGAUGAAACACCGCAUCACAGAAGGUCAUAGUCCUGUGUCUGACUGUGCUUGAAUUUGCGCCAAUGACCGCACGUUCGUCGAGUCGCGUAGUUUUGUAAUGCUGCGCCAAUUGGGAGGUGGAACCCUUCUAAAGCUAAAUAUGAUGACGUGACCGAUAGCAAACAAGUACCGCGAGGGAAAGGUGAAAAGCAACCAUGUAGAAUGCGUUGAAACAGCAGUGAAAGUGCUACUGGGAUAAGGGCUAUUGACUGCUCGUCUUUCGGUAGCGUGCUUCAGUGCUGCUCCGGGAGCGGCCUGCGCCGAUUGGAGGUGGGAGACGCGCUCGGGGUUGAAUUCGGCCGACGGUU